RNAcentral lists this ribosomal RNA (696 nucleotides) under uncultured bacterium. Its description in RNAcentral is "bacterial SSU rRNA". It matches the Rfam family "Bacterial small subunit ribosomal RNA", at positions 9 to 687 of the family's 1533-position model. The record is from RNAcentral.
CCGUUUGAUCCUGGCUCAGGACGAACGCUGGAGAAGCGCCUAAUACAUGCAAGUAGAACGCUGAAGAGAGGAGCUUGCUCUUCUUGGAUGAGUUGCGAACGGGUGAGUAACGCGUAGGUAACCUGCCUGGUAGCGGGGGAUAACUAUUGGAAACGAUAGCUAAUACCGCAUAAAAUGGAUUAUCGCAUGAUAAUUCAUUGAAAGGUGCAAAUGCAUCACUACCAGAUGGACCUGCGUUGUAUUAGCUAGUUGGUGGGGUAACGGCUCACCAAGGCGACGAUACAUAGCCGACCUGAGAGGGUGAUCGGCCACACUGGGACUGAGACACGGCCCAGACUCCUACGGGAGGCAGCAGUAGGGAAUCUUCGGCAAUGGACGGAAGUCUGACCGAGCGACGCCGCGUGAGUGAAGAAGGUUUUCGGAUCGUAAAGCUCUGUUGUAAGAUAAGAACGAGUGUGAAAGUGGAAAGUUCACACUGUGACGGUAUCUUACCAGAAAGGGACGGCUAACUACGUGCCAGCAGCCGCGGUAAUACGUAGGUCCCGAGCGUUGUCCGGAUUUAUUGGGCGUAAAGCGAGCGCAGGCGGUUAGAUAAGUCUGAAGUUAAAGGCUGUGGCUUAACCAUAGUACGCUUUGGAAACUGUUUAACUUGAGUGCAAGAGGGGAGAGUGGAAUUCCAUGUGUAGCCGGUGAAAU